This is a long non-coding RNA of Manis javanica (Malayan pangolin), 1085 nucleotides long. RefSeq lists it as uncharacterized. NCBI's taxonomy places the organism in Eukaryota, Metazoa, Chordata, Mammalia, Pholidota, Manidae. The record is from RefSeq and is a predicted model, not a curated record.
ACCAUGGUUCCUUUUUUAAAAUAGCAUCAAAUAGAUGGUAGUGCUUACAGUAGGAGGGUUUUGCAGCCACAGCCUAGAAACAAGAGGACAGGUCUUACGGUUUGUCUGUAGUUAAUGUGCUUUAUCCUGUGUUAGUAUGGGCACCACAUGGUAUGAUCCGGGUUGCCCCUUUAUUCAACAGAUAUGAUUCCCACACCACCUGGAGAUGUCAGAAACUGUCAGCAACCAAAUGACGCUUUCAGAUGACGGCAUUGUCCCUUGAAGACCUCUGUUGAAAUCUUUGUUGCCUUGAAAAGAUAAUGUGAGGGAAGGAGAACACUGACUAAUGUAUCAAAUUGCAGAGAGAUUAACUCUUGGUGACCAAGAUCCCAAGAGAAGUCAGUCUUAGGACAGAGCAGUUUUGAUAUAAGGAAAGAGAAAACAAAGGUCAGAGAAUUUAUGGGAUGUGCCCUGAUAGGAUCCUUAAGUUGGGAGCCCUGAGAAGCCGAAGGAAUGAUGAGACACCCACUUUACUGAGGAAGUGGGGUGUGCUAUGAAAGAGUGCUUCAGGACCUUCCCUGACAACCAGCCUCCUCCUCAGCUGUGCCUGGACUCACCCUGUGUGAUACCAGGUGAAUAAUCCCAAAGGACUAGGAAACACAGCGUCCCCCAAAGCACGGUCGAUGCAGCCCUGUCCAACACAAAUGUAACAGGAGUCGCACAUGCAAUUUAAAAUCUUCUCAUAGCUGCAUUUAAAAGGCUCCAGCCUUAGCCUUAUCAGGCCUGCCUUUAGCAAGAAUCCUGCUGUCAGUUUGGAGAGAAUUUCUCACCCUCAAGAUACCUAAUCACCCUUGAUAACUUCUCACAUUCCCCACCCACCACCCUUGAUGUAUAAGUUGUUAGCCUGCCAUUAGCAAGAAUCUCCCUCCCCUUAAUGUCUCCUCUUAGUAACUUUUCAGCCGCUGACCCCCUCACUCUGCUCACUGACAAUAGAAAGCCCCACUCGUCCUUGGUGUAUUCGGAGUUGAGCUUGAUUUCUUUCUUACCAUUUUGAUCGUGUUGACUCCCUAUUGCCAAAGUCCUAAAUAAAAUCUUCCUUACUGCUU